RNAcentral lists this ribosomal RNA (262 nucleotides) under uncultured prokaryote. RNAcentral describes it as "partial 16S ribosomal RNA". It matches the Rfam family "Bacterial small subunit ribosomal RNA", at positions 524 to 785 of the family's 1533-position model. The record is from RNAcentral.
UACGUAGGUGGCAAGCGUUAUCCGGAAUUAUUGGGCGUAAAGAGCGCGCGGGUGGUUGAUUAAGUCUGAUGUGAAAGCCCACGGCUUAACAGUGGAGGGUCAUUGGAAACUGGUCGACUUGAGUGCAGAAGAGGGAAGUGGAAUUCCAUGUGUAGCGGUGAAAUGCGUAGAGAUAUGGAGGAACACCAGUGGCGAAGGCGGCUUCCUGGUCUGUAACUGACACUGAGGCGCGAAAGCGUGGGGAGCAAACAGGAUUAGAUAU